Molecule: long non-coding RNA, 1003 nt
Organism: Pecten maximus
Lineage: Eukaryota; Metazoa; Mollusca; Bivalvia; Pectinida; Pectinidae
Exons: 4
Source: RefSeq, a predicted model, not a curated record
CGCAUAUGAUUUACGUACAUUCACUGCUUGUUUAGUUGGACGUUGUAAAUGAGUGCGUCCAAACCAUCAGGUAACACCAACGUGCCCGCGAUUAGAACGAUUACAAGAAGAUUACAAACAUGUCUGGAAGGGAAGGAGGAAAAAAGAAGCCUUUGAAGGCUGCAAAGAAGCAAAAAGAUGAUCUUGAUGAUGAAGAUCUUGCAUUUAAACAGAAACAAAGAGAAGAGCAAAAAGCCUUAAGUCAAAAGGCAAAGGAACUGUCUGGGAAGAAAGGACCAAUUGGUGGCUCAGGCAUAAAGAAAUCAGGAAAGAAAUGACCCCUGGAGAAUAGAGGGGGAUUAUUGGGAAAGUGGGAAGACGUUAUUCUGAAUCACUUAACAGACAUGAUCAUGGAUUCACAUAUAAUAAAGUGAACACCUCAUUGUCAUUGGACUCUGUUUUAAUCAUCACAACCAUGCUCUGGAGAAGAAGUUAGCUGGAUAUCAUUUCUCUCAAAAUUUUUAGCAAGAUUUAAUAAAUUAGAGUGUAAAUGCACAGAACAUAUAUUUACCCUAAUCCUUGUGAAUACAGACAAGCUUUUGACUGUUUUAGAAGUAUCAUGUUUUACAAUUUCACUUCCAGUAGUUUACAAAGCAUGGUUGUAGACAUAAUCAAUAAUUGUGUUGUUUGGUUGUCUUGUAAAAAUAUUAGGGAGAUCGUAAUUUAAUCUGAAGCUGUGAAUGAACACUCUUUAUCUUCAGUUUUUUAUCCCUGUCUAAAUGUAAAUUUUGAUGUCCUUAGCUGAUAAAAAAAAACAUUGUGUUCAAUAGAUGUUCACAUAAAUGAUGCAUUGUGCAAUACAUUUAAGUGUAAACAUACAGGUUUAUGUAAAAACAAAGGAAAAUUUCUUAAAUAUCUUUCUUCACAAUAACAUUUUGCUUUUGUUUAUCAGAUGUAAAAAAAUAUUUUAAAAGAGAUGCUGACAUAAUAUUGGAAAAAAUAAAAUUACAAAAUGAAACAAGAA